GCAACUGUUGCACACCGUUCUCGGAGUGGUGGGGCUAAUUAGAGGGACCGCCGCCGCUGAGGCGGAGGAAGGAGGGGGCUACGGCAGGUCAGUAUGCCCCGAAACCCUCGGGCUACACGCGGGCUGCAAUGGUAAGGACAGCGAGUUCCGAUUCCGAAAGGAGGAGGCAAUCUCUCAAACCUUACCUCAGUUAUGAUUGAGGGCUGAAACUCGCCCUCAUGAAUAUGGAAUCCCUAGUAACCGCGUGUCACCAUCGCGCGGUGAAUACGUCCCUGCUCCUUGCACAA
RNAcentral lists this ribosomal RNA (287 nucleotides) under uncultured archaeon. RNAcentral describes it as "partial 16S ribosomal RNA". It matches the Rfam family "Archaeal small subunit ribosomal RNA", at positions 1056 to 1343 of the family's 1478-position model. The record is from RNAcentral.